RNAcentral lists this ribosomal RNA (301 nucleotides) under uncultured bacterium. RNAcentral's name for it is "partial 16S ribosomal RNA". It matches the Rfam family "Bacterial small subunit ribosomal RNA", at positions 509 to 810 of the family's 1533-position model. The record is from RNAcentral.
CAGUCGCCACGGUAAUACGUAGGGUGCAAGCGUUAAUCGGAAUUACUGGGCGUAAAGCGUGCGCAGGCGGUUAUAUAAGACAGAUGUGAAAUCCCCGGGCUCAACCUGGGACUGCAUUUGUGACUGUAUAGCUAGAGUACGGCAGAGGGGGAUGGAAUUCCGCGUGUAGCAGUGAAAUGCGUAGAUAUGCGGAGGAACACCGAUGGCGAAGGCAAUCCCCUGGGCCUGUACUGACGCUCAUGCACGAAAGCGUGGGGUGCAAACAGGAUUAGAUACCCCAGUAGUCCCUGUCUCUUAUACU